RNAcentral lists this ribosomal RNA (200 nucleotides) under uncultured bacterium. Its description in RNAcentral is "partial 16S ribosomal RNA". It matches the Rfam family "Bacterial small subunit ribosomal RNA", at positions 526 to 721 of the family's 1533-position model. The record is from RNAcentral.
CGGAAGGUCCGGGCGUUAUCCGGAUUUAUUGGGUUUAAAGGGAGCGUAGGCCGGAGAUUAAGCGUGUUGUGAAAUGUAGAUGCUCAACAUCUGCACUGCAGCGCGAACUGGUUUCCUUGAGUACGCACAAAGUGGGCGGAAUUCGUGGUGUAGCGGUGAAAUGACUUAGAUAUCACGAAAGAACUCCGAAUUGCCGAACG